Molecule: non-coding RNA, 80 nt
Organism: Rhodococcus pyridinivorans SB3094
Lineage: Bacteria; Bacillati; Actinomycetota; Actinomycetes; Mycobacteriales; Nocardiaceae
Source: Rfam
GUCGGUCCUCGGUAGUGACCUUCCGGUCCCGUCGGGUGUCGUAUCCCGAAUCCGCCGGAGGGUUUCGAUCGACGACCGCC